GCUCGGCUCCCCGCCCGCUUCCUUCUCCACCCCCUCUCUCGCCUGCCAGGCCUGGGCGACAGUGCUAAGCAAAGAGCAAGUGAAAGGAAGGGAGGAGGAAGGCGCGGCUCAGAGGCUGGACUUGCGACAGCAACAAGGAGGUGCUUAGCUCCCGCUCGGACUUAGGAGAGCGCCUUUCCUCUCCUGGAGCUGUUGUUUACAACCAAGAUUGGAUUUCCUCCAGAUGUGUACCUGGGGCCAGGCCCACUACAGGCAUAAGCAAGGGAAGGGAGCCUGGCUUUAAGAGUUCCCACUAAAGCUUCAAAAAGGUUGGCACAUUUCUCAUCAGCAAACAGCACUCCAAACUUCACACUCAGUGUCCCAUCAGGAUCUGGACAAAAGAAAGCAUGAUGAUGAAAUGGCAUACAACACUUCAGCUCCACUCAGCAUUUGGACCUGGAGAUUUUCAAGGUUUCUAAUUUCAUUUAGUUAGGUUAUUGUAACUCUAGCCACAUUCAUCACAAUGUAAAUGUGAAAAUAUAACCAAUAUGCUACUUAUUAAAUAGAAAAUACAACUGGCGCACAAAUCAGUAAAAACUAUUACUAAAUCCAAGUCCGUUAGAUCAAAUAUUAAAUUUUCUGAUGGCUUCCUCUUUCAAUUUUUAUAGGUCGCUAUGAAAUAAAGCAAAUGAAAAACUGUAUCAAAUUAAUAACUCUGCAGCAUUAUCUUGUGUUUACUGGCACUGCUCAAGAAGGUAGCAAGAGAAAUCUGUAAUUUUGUGUUAGAGAAAAAACACAUUUUAACACUUCUUUAAAAAUCAGUUAACCUUUUCUUCCAUUUUUACAGUAAUUUUUACACUGAACAGUAAUCAUGAAAAUCUAGUAUAAUUUAGGCCCAAAGAAACUCAGGGUAGUCAUGAUUAACAAUGACUGGGUUCAUACAUGUUAGACAUGGUUUGCUCAAUAAACCACAACUAGCUGGGUUUGCACUACAUGUUAAGCUAUAAAAAUAUUUUACAAAUCACAAUUUGCACAAUAUACUAAGCUAAAAG
This is a long non-coding RNA of Candoia aspera, 1031 nucleotides long. RefSeq lists it as uncharacterized. The transcript is spliced from 2 exons. The record is from RefSeq and is a predicted model, not a curated record. NCBI's taxonomy places the organism in Eukaryota, Metazoa, Chordata, Lepidosauria, Squamata, Candoiidae.